UCCUUGGGACGGGGAACCUCGGGAACUGAGAAUAAUACCCGAUAGAACAUUAUGCCUGGAAUGGUUUAUGUUUCAAAUGAUUUAUCGCCAUAGGAUGGGACUGCGGCCUAUCAGUUUGUUGGUGAGGUAAUGGCCCACCAAGACUAUUACAGGUACGGGCUCUGAGAGGAGUGGCCCGGAGAUGGGUACUGAGACACGGACCCAGGCCCUAUGGGGCGCAGCAGGCGAGAAAACUUUGCAAUGUGCGAAAGCACGACAAGGUUAAUCCGAGUGGUUUCUGCUAAAGAAACCUUUUGUCAGUCCUAGAAACACUGACGAAUAAGGGGUGGGCAAGUUCUGGUGUCAGCCGCCGCGGUAAAACCAGCACCUCAAGUGGUCAGGAUGAUUAUUGGGCCUAAAGCAUCCGUAGCUCGUUUUGUAAGUUUUCGGUUAAAUCCAUGCGCUUAACGUAUGGGCUGCCGGGAAUACUGCAUAACUAGGAAGUGGGAGAGGUAGACGGUACCCGGUAGGAAGGGGUAAAAUCCUUUGAUCUAUUGAUGACCACCUGUGGCGAAGGCGGUCUACCAGAACACGUUCGACGGUGAGGGAUGAAAGCUGGGGGAGCAAACCGGAUUAGAUACCCGGGUAGUCCCAGCUGUAAACUAUGCAAACUCAGUGAUGCAUUGGCUUGUGGCCAAUGCAGUGCUGCAGGGAAGCCGUUAAGUUUGCCGCCUGGGAAGUACGUACGCAAGUAUGAAACUUAAAGGAAUUGGCGGGGGAGCAC
Molecule: ribosomal RNA, 763 nt
Filed under: uncultured archaeon
Lineage: Archaea
Description: bacterial SSU rRNA
Rfam family: Archaeal small subunit ribosomal RNA
Source: RNAcentral